AUUGAACGCUGGCGGAAUGCUUUACACAUGCAAGUCGAACGGCAGCAUAGGUGCUUGCACCUGAUGGCGAGUGGCGAACGGGUGGGUAAUACAUCGGAACGUGCCCAGUCGUUGGGGAUAACGUAGGCAAAGUUACGCUAAUACAGCAUACGAUCUAAGGAUGAAAGCGGGGGACCGGAAGGCCUCGCGCGAUUGGAGCGGCCGACGUCAGAUUAGGUAGUUGGUGAGGUAAAGGCUCACAAAGGCGACGAUCUGUAGCUGGUCUGGGAGGACGAACAGCGACACUGGGACUGAGACACCGCCCAGACUCCUACGGGGGGCAGCAGUGGGGAAUUUUGAACAUUGGACGCGAGUCUGAUCCAGCCAUUCCGCGUGCAGGACGAAGGCAUUCGGGUUGUAAACUGCUUUUGUACGGAACGAAAAAGCUCUUACUAAUACUAGGAGUCCAUGACGGUACCGUAAGAAUAAGCACCGGCUAACUACGUGCCAGCCGCCGCAGUAA
This 502-nucleotide ribosomal RNA is filed under the name uncultured bacterium. RNAcentral describes it as "partial 16S ribosomal RNA". It matches the Rfam family "Bacterial small subunit ribosomal RNA", at positions 30 to 523 of the family's 1533-position model. The record is from RNAcentral.